UAGUCCACGCCGUAAACGAUGCUCGCUCGUUGUAGGACCCCUCGACCUGGGUUCUGUGACUAAGCUAACGCGUUAAGCGAGCCGCCUGUGCAGUACGAUCGCAAGAUUAAAACACAAAGGAAUAGACGGGGGUCCACACAAGCGGUGGAUUGCGGGGUUUAAUUCGUCAAUAAGCGAAGAACCUUACCCAGGCUUGACAUCCCUAUCAUAUCACUGAGAGAUCAGAGAGUCGGUUCGGCCGGAUAGGUGACAGGCGUUGCAUGGUUGCCGUCAGCUCGUGCCUUGAGGUGUCCGGUUAAGUCCGUGAACGAGCGCAACCCUCAUCGUAUGUUGUAUUUUCAUACGAGACUGCCAUUCACAAAAUGGAGGAAGGUGAGGACGACGUCAAAUCAGCAUGACCCUUAUGUCUGGGGCUACACCCACAAUACAAUGGCACAUACAAACCGAAGCAAUGCAGCGAUGCGGAGCAAAUCGGACAAAAAUGUGUCUCAGUUC
Molecule: ribosomal RNA, 495 nt
Filed under: uncultured bacterium
Lineage: Bacteria
Description: bacterial SSU rRNA
Rfam family: Bacterial small subunit ribosomal RNA
Source: RNAcentral